This 253-nucleotide ribosomal RNA is filed under the name uncultured bacterium. RNAcentral's name for it is "partial 16S ribosomal RNA". It matches the Rfam family "Bacterial small subunit ribosomal RNA", at positions 524 to 776 of the family's 1533-position model. The record is from RNAcentral.
UACGUAGGGUCCGAGCGUUGUCCGGAAUUACUGGGCGUAAAGCGCGCGCAGGCGGCCCGCGAGGUGUCACGUGAAAGCCCCGGGCUCAACCCGGGAGGGUCGCGGCGAACCGGCGGGCUUGAGGCCGGUAGAGGUGGGUGGAACUCCUGGUGGAGUGGUGAAAUGCGUAGAGAUCAGGAAGAACACCCGUGGCGAAGGCGGCCCACUGGGCCGGUACUGACGCUGAGGCGCGAAGGCGUGGGGAGCGAACGGG